AAUUUAGUGUGAUUACAUUGUUAAUGAAAUGUUAAGAUUUCCAUACUUUUCGAUAUUCUGCGUUCCUUUCGAUUGAGUUAUUAAUUAUUAAUUAUUAAUAGUGUUAUUGAUAUUCGAUCGUCUUUCUCUAGUAUAUUUGUUUUUAAAAAAGGCACGCAUUCGCUUAUUCGCUACACAGUAAAAGCCUUAGGUUGAAUGUUAAUUCAGACAGAUUUGUGCAACGCCGUCAACGGUCCGCAGAUAUUCCUUCUCCGGGUGGUUUUAGUGCAACAUAUGAACAAAAGACAACUACUAGCGACGACCUAUGCAAACUUUUCUUCUUUUCCAGACGAAUGAAAAUGGUGUGAUUAAUCCAGAGUUUGUGAUAGCAUUAUUAAUAACAUUAUAUGAUAAAAAUAAAAAGAGAUUGGUUCUAGUUUUGUUUUAAGAUGAGUUAUUAUUGGAUUCUUGUUUGUAUUUUUGCUUUUCUUCAUCUUGCUGUUUUCGCACACUUGCGUUCGUUUUGCUAGUUACGUUAUUGUUUUAUUUGCAAUUCCAUUUGCAAUUGUAUCCUUUUGUUAAUACGUUAAUAAAAAAUAGACUUCCACUUUCAUCUUACUAAAAAAAAAUAAAACUACUUGUUUCUUUUGUUUCUGCUCGUUCUUCACUUAGCGCGCUAUACAGUGUUUAUCAGUUAAGUCUACACAGUUAAAACACAUCUAAUUAUUAUUAAUAAUUUCUGAGAUUACGUGUUAUUCCGACGUCCCAAAGUGCGUCUCUGUCGCACGGUCUCUGCCUCGCUUCAAAGCAGAGCAAGCAGCACGGGACAAGAUUUCAUGAUUGUUUUUCUUUCGCGUCGAGAAUCGAGGAUUCUGCAUAUCCUGGUUCAAGGAUGACUUUGUUAAAUAUUAAAAGUAAAAAUCUCUCGCUUGCUUCGAUCAGGUUUUGUUGUUUGCUUUGCCCCAACAAUGGAGGAAAACGGUGUUAUAGCACACAUAACUCUCCAUUUUUUUUUAAACAGUGCUCAUGUUUUUGUCACUAAAUCCUUAUACAUCUAGCUGUGUUUGUUUUUGUGUGUAUGUGUGUAUGUAUGUGCUUGCACAUAAUUAUGUACGUGUGUUGUGGGGUUUGUGUGUUAAAUUAAUAAAAAAAACGAAUCCUCAGAGACUUGUUUCCAUCACGCGCUCUCUCUCGCUCUCUCGCUCUCGUCCCGUCGUAAUUGUUAAUCAUAUUUUGAGAAGACACGAACAAAAGCUUUGCUCUCAUUUGUUGAUUGUUUGUUUGUUUUUUUGUUUGUUUCAUUCUAGUAGUAUUUAUUUGUAAAUAUUUCGAGACUACCAUGGCACCAAGUUAAUACGAAAAGUCAUAACGAAUAAUGCAUCUCUCAUUCACAACAAGGCAUACUUUGAUAUUGUCAGUUUCUGUUUCUACAGGGUUGGUUCGGGUUCGGGUGGAUGUGUAUUUGUGUGUAUUCUGUGUAUUGUUGGUGGGCUUCUUCCGUUUGGGCAACAGUCGUUUGUUUCUCAUCUGGUUUGGUAUGGAAUUUGUUGGUUCAAAAUUUUAGUUAAUCCCCAAAAUUAAAUUACCAAAAGUGAAGGGAAUCGAUCAACGAUCAGUUUUCUUUUAGGAAAUCAAAACGAAUUCUUUGAACGGAUAGACUUACACAAAAAGCAUUUGUUUCCAAUUCCUCAAAACAUCAAUAAUAUCAAUGAUUACGCAUGAUUGCGCAAAACAAUAAUACGUUUGUUCCGAUGCGUUACUUCUUAAGCUACAACACAAAGCUCAUUAGUGUGCAUUGUAUGAAUAUUUACACUCAUUGUUCUGAAACAAAAGGAGUGCUCAUAACGAAUACAUCUGUUUUAAAUGGCGUUUCAAUGCAUUGGGACGGAAUUGCAACCCGUAGAACAAAUUUUGAAUCAAGAAGCAGUGUUAAAUUUUUAACAAUAUCUCCACAAUGUGUGACUCUUUAUCAAAUACAACGAAAGGUAAAUAAAUUUAGAAGUCAUCUUUGGAAGAAUCAUUCCAAUGUUUUGUUCAAACCCGUUCAAAAAAGAGAGGUAAAGGACAGAAAUUAGAUCAAAACCCCUAGACAAAGUCGAAUUUGACAGGCGAAGUUUGUUUUCUAAUAAUUAAAACCUAGUACUAUUAGCACAUACAAAAAAAAACUUUGUUUUUAAAUCCUCCGAAGCACACCAAAGUUGUUCCAUUUCUAGACCAACAAUUGAGAUGGGCGGAACAAUCAAACAUAAACAAUGGCUUUAAACACAAAUUUCUCGAGAAUUAAAACACUCCCACGCAAACUAACAAUGCCAUUCUAUAAAGGAAGUUUGCUCUAUCGGAUGAUGUUAUUAGAUUGCUUGGAUGUGCUUUGAUUCUCGUGGAAUUUGCGUUUAAAGUCAUUGUUUACGUUUGGUUGUUCCGCCUAUUUCAAUUGUUGGUCUAGAUAUAAUAAGAAAAAUCAAAUAUUCUAUAGAAUAUUCUUUUUUACGUUCGCUCAGCCCGUAUUCGGACUAUAUAAACAAAGUCUCAAAAUGUCUUGCGCCCCAAACCCUCCGACACGUUGAAAUAUGCAGGAAAAUUGUUUAAGAUACCUACUUAAAAGAUAGGCAAGGUGUUGCUUUGAAGCCCACACCUCUACUGACUAAUCUGUCCCAAAACUUCAACUUUUAUUCGUAUGAAUUCUUUGACCAUUCAUAUCAAAAGUCUGAGAUCGUUUUUGAGAAUAACAUUUUGAUAAUUACCGCAUUAUUUGACAAAUUUUCAGUUUCAAUGCUAAUUCUAUAAGAAUUGGCAGUACCUACUAUCAAAAUCUGAAAAUGAGCAUUGGUUAAACCCCUUCAUGCAAAUCGUUCAAAAUGAUGAUGUAAACAGUGCAACCUCGCUUUACCGUUUAUUCGCCGGUUAAUCAAAGAAAAAAAUUACAUUCAAAAAUAAAAACGGAUCCGAUGAUGUGGUUGCACGGUUCGUUAAGUCGCUGACUCCGAUGAAAUCUAGGGCAACAUGUCAAAAUGGCUGAUCUUUGUUGAUCGAUUCUCUUCAUCGACUUUCUCCUAGGGUUUCACGAAAAAGGGACACAAUAAUUCGUAACCUAGGCUGGAAUAAAUCACAAUUUCCUAGAAUCCGAAUUCAACGUGAUCAGAUAAUAAAGAACCAAUAAAUCGAUCUUCGAACCUUACUUUUCAAGGUUAAACUCGCUUGUCAAAUGGAUUUGUGAAACAAACAUCAUCUUGCUUUUAAAUGCUGAUGUCGAGUUCAGCACAAUGCUUAAGGGCGAAUAAGCUUUCAUUCAAUCUUGGGAUGAUGUUUUGGCACAGUGUAGGUUAGAAAAGAUCUUUACAGUGGCUUUAGCCGACGAUUACUCGAGAGUAAAAGAUCACACAUGCCAAUUAACGACGCCACAAGGUAGAUGAAUGUUUCCUCUACCAGCUGGCAUCGUUAAUUUGCAGGAGUGAGCUAUUAUUUGUGAGAAAUCGGCGGUUGGAGUCAUUGGUUACAAAAGAAGUUUCACCCUAAUGAAAUGUUGGCACUGUUUUAUCCAAUGGUUAUUAAGAAUCCAUACUACAGAAUACUAAUAUUUCAUUGGUACAGAAUCUUAAAAUAGAUAUUAAAACAUGGCUUUUAGACAUUUGUGUAGUCCGAUUAGUAUUUUUUUUAAAUGUUAACUUCCAAGAUCAUUAAUGGGCUAACAAAGAUCUUCUAGGCCCAUUACCAUGUAUCUUUAAAAAGUAUCAUAUAUAUUCUAAAUCUUAGAUUUUUAUGGUUUCAAAUUUUGAUUUUUGAUUUAUUUUCCAGGGUGAUUUUCUCAGGCAUGGCUAAAUCAAAAUAUCUGAAGCAAAUAUUGUCUAUUCAAGCAUGGACAGUAGACUGACGCAAAAUUUGAAUUUUUCAGUCCACGGUGCUCAAACGGUUCCAAAUUGGAUCCUGAUUAGCCUCCCAAAAUUUGAUCUCAUUUAUUAAUAAACUGACUUGGCACAAACUUUAUGAAGUUUAUAAGGAAAUUACUAUCGAUCUCAAAAUUCACCAUUUCACUCUGCUUUUAAAAUUGUUAGCUUCGCUUGUAGGAAAUUUUCUCAGCUACAACUUUGCCAAAAACCACUUCUCACAUCACUAAUGUCUUAUGAUUAUGUUCAAUCAACUGUUCAACAGGCAACAUUGGUCUUUUUUGGCGCAUAGAAUGGCUACUACGUCACACUGCAGAACACAGUGUUGCCCACAGAACAAAUGCCUGAUCGUGUCAUAAGAUUAUCAAUCUCUUAAACAAUUAAUAACUAUUUACUUUUAAGUUUGGCUGAAAACCGAUCUUCUGCAAAGUUGUUGCUGAGAAAAUUUACCAUAAGCAUGGUUAUAGAAUUUUUAAACAGUGCAAUAUGGAAAAAGACUAGAUGACAAAGAGCAAUAAGUUUGGUUUUCCCAUAGUAAUUUCCAUAUAAACUUCAAAUGGUUUGUGCCAUGCCAAUUUCUUACCAAAUGAGUUUCAAUUUUGCGAGGCUUAUCAAGGACCCGAUUUGAAACCGUUUGAGCACUGUGGAGUGAACACUUCAAAUUUUGCAUCACUCUAAUGGACAGUGAUUCAAAGCACCUUGGAUUCUAUUAGUAUCAAUAUCAACAGUACUUUGACUUCUCAAUACGAUAAAGUAUAAUGCACUGGUGGAAAUUUCCAUUUCAUAAUUCCAGUUUUUUCCGGUUGUUGGUCUUCCAUUUCACAUUUUCCAGUUGUGCACCUCACCAAGUUCUAAGAAGCACUUUCACAUUGAAAUAUAUAUUUUUAAAACCCAUGACAAGUUAAAAGAUCAAAAUAGCCUUAUAAAUUCCAAAAUCGUCUUGAAAUGUAUAGCGAUGGUCUUUAAAACGCUGAAAUUGGCUUGCAUAAUAGGAGUCAAACAUGUUAAAAUAUCGCCAAGAAGUAUUAAAAAACGUCUAAAGUCGCCUUAAGAAGGACUCGUUCUGAGAAUUCUAACAUGACUUCAAAAAAGGUCAAAACAUCCCGAAAAUUUCAAAAUAUCUGAAGGUGAUAUGGUCUGGAAGCCCUUCGCUCUCAUGACAUUUCGCAUUUUCUGGAGCAUUAAAAUCAGCCACUAGGAAACAUAUAUCAACAAAACUUCAUCCUCAUGUUUAUGGAGAAACGAAUUCCAUGCAAAUUAGGCAAUAGUGUCCGAGAUUUACUUCCCAGCCAGCUUCUCGAGUAAAGCUGAAGAUCAAAUCGCAAUCAAAAUUUGCUGUUAUGAUGUAAAGUAAGUAGUAAAGUUGCUUUUAUUUAUAAAACUGAAAGCACAAUAUGUAAUCAGACUUAUUUCGCGACAAUUAAUAUUAAAAUGAGUUUUCAUUACGAUAGAAACAGCAAACUUAAAUAUCGAUUUGCUUUCAUUUUGUUAACCGCCUUUACCCGGGUUUACAGCCAUCUUGCUGGAUUUGUGGACGCUGUAACACAUAAAACACCAACAUAUGAUAAAUAGUAAUUAAAGUACCGAAAAGUCCAUAAAACGCAUAAGGCAAAUGGCUAUUCGUUGCCAGAGAACCACCAAAACAGCCAAAAUGGAUUCACAAAAGCAUUGUGGCAUAUUUUUAAAGCUUAAUGAACUAACGUCAGAACGUAAAAAUGGCCAUAAAUAGGCCAGAAUUCAAACCCAAAAAUCGUCUUUAAAAAGCUAAAAUAGCUCUGAAAUGCAACAAUGACAUUAUAAAGGUCAAAAUAGUCUUAAAAUCGCAAAAAAAGGUUUUGAAAAUUAACAAAGGUCUUGCAAAUAGACCCUUUAAUCACAAAAUUUACAUGAUGAAAAUACAAAACUGACCAUAACAGCCAGCAUCUUUAAAUUUGAUUUAAAAUAUAAAAAAAACUCAAAAAUGUUAUGCAAAAGUACCAUCAAAAUGGCCUUAAACUACAAAACACUGGCUUCAUUGGAAAAUAAGCACCUGUCUCAACGAAGCCAAUUUCAAAUAUUUUGUUUCAAAGUGGUUUUCCUGGAAAAAAUUUCAACUUCCUGACUCAAUAGAGUUGCCACCCACGAUUUGAAAUAACAAUGGAUAGACUGAAUUUAACAAAUUGUAAGUUGCAGACUAGAUCGUAUAUGAUAAAUGGAAAACCUAUGAAAUUUGAACUAGCAAGUGGCAGUCCACAUUUGUCCAGUAGAUCAUUGUAUAUGAUUUGUUUGAAUUUUUUAAACGAAAAAUAUUAGCAUGCAUGGUUUUUUUUUUUAAAUUUUGAUAGAGGUUUUGAAACCGUAUCAUAAAAAUAUAAAUUUUUCAUCACAGUCGGAAAGCAGUACCUAAUUUAAAUUUCAUCUGGGUUGAUAGAAAUAAAUAUGAUUUAGGUACACUGAUUUUUCUGAAAAUUUCCUAAAGGUUUUACCAACCAACCAACCAACCAACCUGACACCAAACGACUUGUACACCAAACACGGAAAGCGCCCUGUCCUUCGGUCUCAUUCAAAGAAAAUCACCUGUAUUCAUUUUGUCAAGUGUGUUGUAGCAGGCUGCAGUAUAAGUGGGAUCCAUUCUUCUAAUGCACUUUAUUUAAUUACGGAGUUGGUAGGGAGGGGGAGGGGGUGUUGACUCGCACGCUAAAACUGAUUAAAAGUACUACUAUUUUUGUUUCUAAUUACGGGAAAUGGAGGGUGGAUUGCGGAAACUAGUAGCAAUUGGUAGUGUAAAUAGUAUCAAUGUGUGAGUGUUAGUCAAAUUGAGGACAACAACUGAAUAUUAUUAUUGACGAAAUCGAUCCUGAGCGACCGAUGCGGAUGCGUGGUAAAUAUUUGAAUAUUGGAAGAAGAAUGAUAAAAGAUUUUGGUGAUUGGUGGUUGCAUUCCGGUUUUGUUUUUCGUUUUUGUAGAUAUUGCUGUUUCUUUCUUUCGUUUUUUUUUUGUUUUUGCAUUUCUUCUCCGAAUGUGUGGUUUGUUUUAAUGCGACUUGAGUUGUUGUUUGUUUAGAUUCGUUAUUGACAAUUGGGUUUAAUAGAGUUCUAGACGACGCUUUCUAUUUUU
Molecule: long non-coding RNA, 6956 nt
Organism: Ochlerotatus camptorhynchus
Lineage: Eukaryota; Metazoa; Arthropoda; Insecta; Diptera; Culicidae
Exons: 2
Source: RefSeq, a predicted model, not a curated record